Molecule: long non-coding RNA, 425 nt
Organism: Ctenopharyngodon idella (grass carp)
Lineage: Eukaryota; Metazoa; Chordata; Actinopteri; Cypriniformes; Xenocyprididae
Exons: 4
Source: RefSeq, a predicted model, not a curated record
CUUCCAGUGAAAAUGCCUCAAGGAAACAUUCCCUGAACAACAGUACUAUAAAUAUGACCAAAGAACCCAGUUGGCUUCAGACUUCAACUGAAGACAUUACCAGACGACUUCCUUCCUUAACAUAACGAAUACACGCAAGGACUCCAGGCCAGAGUGAAGUAAAGACGAUGGAAGACUUACUGCAAAAUAUUCGCAGGCAGCCCAAACUCAGCACACUGAUUCCAAUAAUCUCCAAACUCAUUAUGAGUGCCCUGGCCAUCGCUCAGAUAUCAAUUGGUGCUAUGUAUCUGAAUGACUGUCCAAAGCAGCCCUAUAUUCCCAUCUAUCUGCUGGUGUUUGGUGUGUUUUUAUUGGUGCUCCAUCUGUCGUCCUGCCUUCCAUGCGCUCGGAAGCCAGAAGAUGGCGCUGAAGUUCCUAAGAUUAUU